UUGACUUUUUAUUCAGUUCAGUUUCUGAGGAAAGUCCAUUCUCAAAAGUAAAAGAGCGCAUCGAUACGAGUUCGUGGAUAUGUGUUACGUAAAAAUUGAAGUUUGUAUAAAAAGAUACAGUCUACUAAAAUUUAAAUUUUUCGUCGGAGUUCGGGGACAAAAUUGACUUUUCAGUCAAUGCUUUAAAUAAGGGACCCCCUAGCUGUUUAACAACCCCCGGGGGGGAUAACCCCUCAUUUUCUCGACCAAAGACUGUUGGACUGGUCGGAAAAUGACCUGCUCUUCACGGCCACCAUAAGCUCCGAUUCGCACUAGAGAACAAGUUUUGAAGCUAAAACGGCAGCCCGCUGUCGUAACCUCAACCCGCUUCGAUCUCGGGAAUCCGGCCAUUUCAGCCGGAGCCACCACCCAAGAUUUGAAGCCCUCUCCUUCGUGGUUGGAACCCAUAGAGCCACUGGGGUCAAUUCACACGGAGGACGAUGAAUCGAAGUUUGAAAUUCCUAAAGCUUUGCAGUAAAAAGGGGGAAGAGAUAGAUCAGAGAACAAACACAAGACUUGAGCAAUGGAGAGGCACUGAAUCCCUUAAUUUGGUUGAAUGGUGUUGUACUUACUGUUAGCUGGUGCUUGAAGGGUAAAUUACUAACUGCCACACAUAAUAGGCCUUGAAGAUCAAGCCUGUGCAUUUGAAGAAUCAUUUGGCUUUUAAAGUCCACAAGCUCUAUGGAGUAUGGAAAGUUAUAACUUGGUUUAAAGGCUGUUUAUUACAAUUGGAGAUUUUGUAAUGCACACUACCACUUCAAAGUUUUGAUUUAUUCUUGUAGUUGACAAUGGUUGAUGAUUACUUUUCCUUAACUUUAUGGGAAAUCAAGUUUCAU
Rosa chinensis is the source of this 875-nucleotide long non-coding RNA. RefSeq lists it as uncharacterized. Lineage: Eukaryota; Viridiplantae; Streptophyta; Magnoliopsida; Rosales; Rosaceae. The transcript has 4 exons. The record is from RefSeq and is a predicted model, not a curated record.